AACGAACGCUGGCGGCAUGCCUAACACAUGCAAGUCGAACGAGACCUUCGGGUCUAGUGGCGCACGGGUGCGUAACGCGUGGGAACCUGCCUUGAGGUUCGGAAUAACUCCCCGAAAGGGGUGCUAAUACCGGAUAAUGUCUUCGGACCAAAGAUUUAUCGCCUUUAGAUGGGCCCGCGUUGGAUUAGCUAGUUGGUGGGGUAAAGGCCUACCAAGGCGACGAUCCAUAGCUGGUCUGAGAGGAUGAUCAGCCACACUGGGACUGAGACACGGCCCAGACUCCUACGGGAGGCAGCAGUGGGGAAUAUUGGACAAUGGGGCGAAAGCCUGAUCCAGCAAUGCCGCGUGAGUGAUGAAGGCCUUAGGGUUGUAAAGCUCUUUUACCCGGGAUGAUAAUGACAGUACCGGGAGAAUAAGCUCCGGCUAACUCCGUGCCAGCCGCCGCGGUAAUU
RNAcentral lists this ribosomal RNA (452 nucleotides) under uncultured bacterium. RNAcentral's name for it is "bacterial SSU rRNA". It matches the Rfam family "Bacterial small subunit ribosomal RNA", at positions 29 to 525 of the family's 1533-position model. The record is from RNAcentral.